RNAcentral lists this ribosomal RNA (373 nucleotides) under uncultured bacterium. RNAcentral describes it as "bacterial SSU rRNA". It matches the Rfam family "Bacterial small subunit ribosomal RNA", at positions 525 to 896 of the family's 1533-position model. The record is from RNAcentral.
ACGGAGGAUGCAAGCGUUAUCCGGAAUCAUUGGGCGUAAAGCGUCCGUAGGUGGUUUGUCAAGUCUGUCGUCAAAGAAUGGAGCUUAACUCCAUAAAGGCGGUGGAAACUGAGAGACUAGAGUUCGGUAGGGGUAGCGGGAAUUCCCAGUGUAGCGGUGAAAUGCGUAGAUAUUGGGAAGAACAUCGGUGGCGAAAGCGUGCUACUGGGCUGUAUCUGACACUCAGGGACGAAAGCUAGGGGAGCGAAAGGGAUUAGAUACCCCUGUAGUCCUAGCCGUAAACGAUGGAUACUAGGCGUGGCUUGUAUCGACCCGAGCCGUGCCGAAGCUAACGCGUUAAGUAUCCCGCCUGGGGAGUACGCACGCAAGUGUG